ACCCUUGAACGAUGAGGAGAUGAUUUUGUAUAUUCUCACUGGACUCGACAUCGAAUAUAAUUCAAUUGUGUGGGUUGUAGUUGCUCGUGUUGAACCUAUGUCGGUUAUGAACUAUAUGCUCAGCUUUUAAGCUUCUAGA
Phragmites australis (common reed) is the source of this 139-nucleotide small nucleolar RNA. RefSeq annotates it as small nucleolar RNA Z247. The transcript has a single exon. Lineage: Eukaryota; Viridiplantae; Streptophyta; Magnoliopsida; Poales; Poaceae. The record is from RefSeq and is a predicted model, not a curated record.